GACUUAAAAUCCGUCGACUUUAUAAGUUGUGAGG
Molecule: transfer RNA, 34 nt
Filed under: Agropyron cristatum
Lineage: Eukaryota; Viridiplantae; Streptophyta; Magnoliopsida; Poales; Poaceae
Also listed under: 3 other names
Description: partial tRNA-Leu
Source: RNAcentral